CUACGGGCGGCUGCGGUGAGGAAUGUUGCACAAUGGGGGGAACCCUGAUGCAGCAACGCCGCGUGGAGGAUGACGCAUUCCGGUGUGUAAACUCCUUUUAUAUGUCAAGAAAAUGACGGUAGCAUAUGAAUAAGCACCGGCUAACUCCGUGCCAGCAGCCGCGGUAAUACGGAGGGUGCAAGCGUUACUCGGAAUCACUGGGCGUAAAGGACGCGUAGGCGGGUUGGAAAGUCAGGUGUGAAAUCCUACAGCUUAACUGUAGAACUGCACUUGAAACUUCUAAUCUAGAGUAUGGGAGGGGGAGAUGGAAUUAGUGGUGUAGGGGUAAAAUCCGUAGAUAUCACUAGGAAUACCUAAAGCGAAGGCGAUCUCCUGGAACAUUACUGACGCUAAGGCGUGAAAGCGUGGGGAGCAAACAGGAUUAGAUACCCCAGUAGUC
This 439-nucleotide ribosomal RNA is filed under the name uncultured bacterium. RNAcentral's name for it is "partial 16S ribosomal RNA". It matches the Rfam family "Bacterial small subunit ribosomal RNA", at positions 339 to 795 of the family's 1533-position model. The record is from RNAcentral.